Non-coding RNA from Podarcis muralis (Common wall lizard), 1807 nucleotides. Lineage: Eukaryota; Metazoa; Chordata; Lepidosauria; Squamata; Lacertidae. The record is from RefSeq and is a predicted model, not a curated record.
CGCCAGCGAGGGAGCCCAGGGCGCAUCCAAGAGAUAGGAAGAAGUAGUUAAGAGAGGUGGCCAACGAAGACAGCACUUUCCCCUCCUUUCCCCGCUCCCUCCCGCCUUGCACAGCCUCAGGCCCGGGCAGGAAGCCGUCGCCGGGAGCUCCGCGCGCCUCCUCUCCCUCCCUCUCUCCCGCAGCCCUUCGCGUCCCCGGCUGAAGCCUCUCUCUCGGAAGCUUCCCGCCGGAUGGUGUCACCGCCAAAUGCGUCCGGCGAAAGGGAGGCGGCGGCUUCGGCGGCGGUUGUUGUGAGGCUGGAACCCGGAACUGCCUCGGCGGCCGACCAAACAAACCAACCUCAGGCUCGCUUGGCCCUUGGCGACGACGCCUCCUCGGCUGCUGAGCAUGAAGGGCCGGGCUGCGGACGACGGGGCGCCUCGCGGGGAGUGAACCACCGCCGGCGAGCCGCUAGCUGCGUUCCGGGCAGGAGAAGGAGAAGCCCCAUGAGGAAGCCGAGGCCGCGGUUCCAUCAACAAAGACACAAUGCUUGAGUCGUAUGUGACUCCUAUUCUAAUGAGCUAUGUGAAUCGCUACAUUAAGAACUUGAAACCUUCUGAUCUACAGCUAUCACUCUGGGGAGGAGAUGUCGUUCUUAGCAAGCUUGAGUUAAAACUUGAUGUACUUGAACAGGAUUCCUUGCAAGAAAAGGGAAAAGUUGACAGCUAUGGUGUAUACAGGGGAGAACCAUACCUGCACCUGUUGCUUGCUUUGGUACAGCAGUUCUAUUGCUGAAGAGGCAAGUUGCAAAUCCUCAGAUGUGGGAAUUGUUGCAUCAUAACACAGAAAUGUAGGGAUGACUGUUCAUGGUUCUCCUGCUAUGUGUGCAAAUCUUGAACAUUACGUCUUUCCUCUGGAGCAGUGUUAGAAACUGAUAUAUGAAAGCUAGAAGCUAAAUGGUAUCUUAAACCUAGGUUAUGGGCGCAACAAUGGAUUGUCUAGGCACACUUUUUUAUAACAAGAAUACAAAGCUGACAAUGAAUGAACUGAGGCUAAAAACGUAUGUUCAUUUUUCACAUGGUUUAGUCCUUAUCUGAAGCCUGCAAAAAACAAAGCCAUGCUUCCCCUGCCCGUCUCCCUAAUAGGGUCUAUCCUCCAGUAUUCGGAGAGUGGCUGGAAGUGGGGAGGAAAAAAACGGUCCUCCUUUUCUUCUACUCUGCAGACAAGCCCUGGAUUCUCCCUAUACCCCCUUUCCUUAAUAUAAAUAUAUCUUUUUUGGCACCACAAACAAUACAUAUUAAAAGCUUAUACAACUGAUGGCAAAGACACCCACCUUGAGUGUCCAGUUUGCAAACCUAAGACCUAUCAUAUUUUUCCAUGUAUAAGACGACCCCUAGAUCUAUCGAAAGCCUAGUGAGGAGGAAUUUCUCCUCCCACACCCUCAGCACCAACAGUGGCAGUUUAAAUCUGAAAUCUUGGGUGCAGUACUGCGCCCAGAGCUCAGAAAUUCCCUGUCGCAAAAUGUACCUAGAACAAUGGGAGUGUCGGACACUGCUCUGGAGAAUAAACUCUGUCAGUGGAUAUUACUUCUGCCUCACUGUGCAUUUUUAUAAUUGUCCUUUAUAAUAUAAAAACACUUGCUUUGGCAUACUUUCCUUGUACAUUUAUCUAAUUACUGUUAGGGUUUUUUUCCUGUUGCCAAGUGUUUUUUUCGAGAAUUAAUUUGAUUCACUGUUGUUGGUCAUGUGUUCUGUGUUUUAUGAUUUUUAGAAUUUUAUGAUUUUUAAUUAUUUUUUAAUACAGAACCAUGAUAGAUAGAUAAUUUAU